Molecule: ribosomal RNA, 492 nt
Filed under: uncultured bacterium
Lineage: Bacteria
Description: partial 16S ribosomal RNA
Rfam family: Bacterial small subunit ribosomal RNA
Source: RNAcentral
AGUGAACGCUGGCGGUAGGCCUAACACAUGCAAGUCGAACGGCAGCACAGUAAGAGCUUGCUCUUACGGGUGGCGAGUGGCGGACGGGUGAGGUAUACAUCGGAAUCUACUUUUUCGUGGGGGAUAACGUAGGGAAACUUACGCUAAUACCGCAUACGACCUACGGGUGAAAGCAGUGGAUCUUCGGACCUUGCGCGAUUGAAUGAGCCGAUGUCGGAUUAGCUAGUUGGCGGGGUAAAGGCCCACCAAGGCGACGAUCCGUAGCUGGACUGAGAGAAUGGUCAGCCACACUGGAACUUGGACACGGUCCAGACUCCUAAGGGAGGCAGCAGUGGGGAAUAUUGGACAAAGGGCGCAAGCCUGAUCCAGCCAUACCGCGUGGGUGAAGAAGGCCUUCGGGUUGUAAAGCCCUUUUGUUGGGAAAGAAAAGCAGCAGGUUAAUACCCCGCUGUUCUGACGGUACCCAAAGAAUAAGCACCGGCUAACUUCGUG